This 59-nucleotide ribosomal RNA is filed under the name Muribaculum sp. An289. Its description in RNAcentral is "partial 23S ribosomal RNA". Lineage: Bacteria; Pseudomonadati; Bacteroidota; Bacteroidia; Bacteroidales; Muribaculaceae. The record is from RNAcentral.
GCGAAACGGAAAAGGGCGCACGGUGGAUGCCUGGGCUUCCGGAGGCGAUGAAGGACGCG